Poecilia reticulata (guppy) is the source of this 1100-nucleotide non-coding RNA. The record is from RefSeq and is a predicted model, not a curated record. NCBI's taxonomy places the organism in Eukaryota, Metazoa, Chordata, Actinopteri, Cyprinodontiformes, Poeciliidae.
UCGUCCCCCCUUCUCACCCAUGCAACCCCCCACCCCCACCCUUCUACCCCAUCCGCCCCAUUCAGUUCCUGCCAGCAGCGCCGUCCUGGAUUUUUUUUUUUACCCCUUUAAACAGAGGCUGCUUGGUUUUCUGCAGCGCGACGGCGGGACACACAGUGAGAUUUAUAGAAAGUCGUCGGCUCAGCUGAUGCGUCAUGGUAGCUUUCGUGCCAAAAAGCGCUCAACUUCCAGGCGUUAUUUUUAACUUCAUUAAUGCACACGUGGGAGAGAGAAAAAAAAGGAGCAAGGCUCGAUUGCUGUAACACGCUUCCAGGGUAUGAUUUGGUCUUGUGAAGAGUAUGUUGGAGUGUGUGAUUCCCUCUCUCUGUGUGUGUGUACGGGUGUGUAUGCGGUGUGUGUGUGUGUGUGUUUGAGAGAGAGUGUUUCCCUCAGUGUGUGUAAAACCUUGUUGCCCUCAGGACAGGCAGCAGCCAGCAGCUGUUUGACGGAGGCACGGACCCUCCACCAGCAACCAGGGAAAACUCCUGGCUUUUCCCCCUUUUUUUCCAGUGUUAUUUUCCCAUUUGUUACAAUUGUAUAUGGAGCACUUUGCUUCUUGCAGGAGUGUUUUGCGCAUGUUGCACGAGAGCAGAAGCGCACCUGGAUGACGGUGGACAGGCUGCUGUCUCAGCUUUGCGCAACGCCGACUGUUGACUUGCACAUGUCUGCUGCUUUGCUUGUUUGUUUGUUUGUUUGUUUGUUUGCUGCAGGCACGCGGAGAUCGUUUUCUUUUGAUGUUGGUCUGCGGGCUUCUAAGCGCGAGGUUUGAAGAACAACAAGGCUGCUCGUUAUAUUCAUGUGGUGCCGGGCCUCCAGCCCACAUGUCAUAUGGGAAUGGUUUCCGUCUAGUUUGGCUGAAUAAAGGCGGCUCUAUAUGCUGGAGCCUAUUAAGGAUCGGUGGUGACGGAGCAACUGAAGUCUGCAGGGAGAGCGGCGCGGAUCAGUUUGCUCGGAGGGGAAAAUAAAGUCAAACCGUAUUUUGUUCGAAUUAGUUGUCAUUCGAAGAAAAAUAACAUGCUUAUUAUUAUUAUUACAAUUAUUAUUAUUAUUAUUAUUAUUAU